CUGGUCUUGACAUCCAUAGAAUUUCUUAGAAAUAAGAAAGUGCCUUAGGGAACUAUGAGACAGGUGCUGCAUGGCUGUCGUCAGCUCGUGUUGUGAAAUGUUGGGUUAAGUCCCGCAACGAGCGCAACCCUUAUCCCCUGUUGCCAUCGGUUCGGCCGGGAACUCAGAGGAGACUGCCGGUUAUAAACCGGAGGAAGGUGGGGACGACGUCAAGUCAUCAUGGCCCUUACGACCAGGGCUACACACGUGCUACAAUGGUUUAUACAAAGAGAAGCAAAUCUGUAAAGACAAGCAAACCUCAUAAAGUAAAUCGUAGUCCGGACUGGAGUCUGCAACUCGACUCCACGAAGUCGGAAUCGCUAGUAAUCGUGGAUCAGAAUGCCACGGUGAAUACGUUCCCGGGUCUUGUACACACCGC
This 418-nucleotide ribosomal RNA is filed under the name Buchnera aphidicola (Aphis gossypii). Its description in RNAcentral is "bacterial SSU rRNA". It matches the Rfam family "Bacterial small subunit ribosomal RNA", at positions 975 to 1393 of the family's 1533-position model. The record is from RNAcentral. Lineage: Bacteria; Pseudomonadati; Pseudomonadota; Gammaproteobacteria; Enterobacterales; Erwiniaceae.